GAGUUUGAUCUUGGUCAGGAUGAACGCUGGCGGCGUGCCUAAUACAUGCAAGUCGAGCGAACGGACGAGAAGCUUGCUUCUCUGAUGUUAGCGGCGGACGGGUGAGUAACACGUGGAUAACCUACCUAUAAGACUGGGAUAACUUCGGGAAACCGGAGCUAAUACCGGGAUAAUAUUUUGAACCGCAUGGUUCAAAAGUGAAAGACGGUCUUGCUGUCACCUAUAGAUGGAUCCGCGCUGCAUUAGCUAGUUGGUAAGGUAACGGCUUACCAAGGCAACGAUGCAUAGCCGACCUGAGAGGGUGAUCGGCCACACUGGAACUGAGACACGGUCCAGACUCCUACGGGAGGCAGCAGUAGGGAAUCUUCCGCAAUGGGCAAAGCCUGACGGAGCAACGCCGCGUGAGUGAUGAAGGUCUUCGGAUCGUAAAAACUCUGUUAUUAGGGAAGAACAUAUGUGUAAGUAACUGUGCACAUCUUGACGGUACCUAAUCAGAAAGCCACGGCUAACUACGUG
This 516-nucleotide ribosomal RNA is filed under the name uncultured microorganism. Its description in RNAcentral is "bacterial SSU rRNA". It matches the Rfam family "Bacterial small subunit ribosomal RNA", at positions 9 to 507 of the family's 1533-position model. The record is from RNAcentral.